RNAcentral lists this transfer RNA (87 nucleotides) under Magnetococcales bacterium. RNAcentral's name for it is "tRNA-Leu". It matches the Rfam family "tRNA". Rfam says of the family: Transfer RNA (tRNA) molecules are approximately 80 nucleotides in length. Their secondary structure includes four short double-helical elements and three loops (D, anti-codon, and T loops). The record is from RNAcentral. Lineage: Bacteria; Pseudomonadati; Pseudomonadota; Magnetococcia; Magnetococcales.
GCCCAGGUGGCGAAAUUGGUAGACGCGCUAGAUUCAGGUUCUAGUGGCCGCAAGGUCAUGAUGGUUCAACUCCAUUCCUGGGCACCA